CAAAACUAUUACAGGGAGACAGUUAUUAGAUUCCCGCCACGAGAUGAGGAAUGCAUGCAGGAUAAGUCUUACCGUGGAGCUGCUGUGGAAUUGCAGCCACGUGAAGACCACGUGGUUGCGUGGGCGC
Neopelma chrysocephalum (saffron-crested tyrant-manakin) is the source of this 127-nucleotide long non-coding RNA. RefSeq lists it as uncharacterized. Lineage: Eukaryota; Metazoa; Chordata; Aves; Passeriformes; Pipridae. The record is from RefSeq and is a predicted model, not a curated record. The transcript is spliced from 3 exons.